RNAcentral lists this ribosomal RNA (584 nucleotides) under uncultured bacterium. Its description in RNAcentral is "partial 16S ribosomal RNA". It matches the Rfam family "Bacterial small subunit ribosomal RNA", at positions 355 to 1375 of the family's 1533-position model. The record is from RNAcentral.
UGGGGAAUUUUGGACAAUGGGCGAAAGCCUGAUCCAGCAAUGCCGCGUGUGUGAAGAAGGCCUUCGGGUUGUAAAGCACUUUUGUCCGGAAAGAAAUCCUUGGCUCUAAUACAGUCGGGGGAUGACGGUACCGGAAGAAUAAGCACCGGCUAACUACGUGCCAGCAGCCGCGGUAAUACGUAGGGUGCAAGCGUUAAUCGGAAUUACUGGGCGUAAAGCGUGCGCAGGCGGUUUGCUAAGACCGAUGUGAAAUCCCCGGGCUCAACCUGGGAACUGCAUUGGUGACUGGCAGGCUAGAGUAUGGCAGAGGGGGGUAGAAUUCCACGUGUAGCAGUGAAAUGCGUAGAGAUGUGGAGGAAUACCGAUGGCGAAGGCAGCCCCCGGGCCAAUACUGACGCUCAUGCACGAAAGCGUGGGGAGCAAACAGGAUUAGAUACCCUGGUAGUCCACGCCCUAAACGAUGUCAACUAGUUGUUGGGGAUUCAUUCCCUUAGUAACGUAGCUAACGCGUGAAGUUGACCGCCUGGGGAGUACGGUCGCAAGAUUAAAACUUAAAGGAAUUGACGGGGUCAUAGCUGUUUCCU